This 506-nucleotide ribosomal RNA is filed under the name uncultured bacterium. RNAcentral's name for it is "partial 16S ribosomal RNA". It matches the Rfam family "Bacterial small subunit ribosomal RNA", at positions 28 to 507 of the family's 1533-position model. The record is from RNAcentral.
GACGAACGCUGGCGGCGUGCUUAACACAUGCAAGUCGAACGGUGAAGGGACUGGUUUUGCUGGUCCUGGAUGAGUGGCGAACGGGUGAGUAACACGUGAGUAACCUGCCCCCUUCUUCUGGAUAACCGCAUGAAAGUGUGGCUAAUACGGGAUAUUCUGGGUCUGUCGCAUGGUGGGCCUGGGAAAGAUUGCGCCUUUUUUGGUGGUUUUGGUGGGGGAUGGGCUCGCGGCCUAUCAGCUUGUUGGUGGGGUGAUGGCCUACCAAGGCGGUGACGGGUAGCCGGCCUGAGAGGGUGGACGGUCACACUGGGACUGAGACACGGCCCAGACUCCUACGGGAGGCAGCAGUGGGGAAUAUUGCACAAUGGGCGCAAGCCUGAUGCAGCGACGCCGCGUGAGGGAUGGAGGCCUUCGGGUUGUGAACCUCUUUCGCCAGUGAAGCAGGCCUGCCUCUUUUUGUGGGUGGGUUGACGGUAGCUGGAUAAGAAGCGCCGGCUAACUACGUG